RNAcentral lists this unclassified non-coding RNA (339 nucleotides) under soil metagenome. Its description in RNAcentral is "partial contains 5.8S ribosomal RNA, internal transcribed spacer 2, and large subunit ribosomal RNA". The stretch from base 1 to 120 matches the Rfam family "5.8S ribosomal RNA", at positions 35 to 154 of the family's 154-position model. The record is from RNAcentral.
GAUGAAGAACGUAGCGAAAUGCGAUACGUAAUGUGAAUUGCAGAAUUCCGUGAAUCAUCGAAUCUUUGAACGCACAUUGCGCCCCCUGGUAUUCCGGGGGGCAUGCCUGUCCGAUCGUCAUUGCAACCCUCAAGCGCGGCUUGUGUGUUGGGCUUCGUCCCCCCGUGGACGUGCCCGAAAGGCAGUGGCGGCGUCCCGAAUGGUGCCCGAGCGUAUGGGAACUCUCUUCCGCUCGAACCGGCCCAUUCGGCGCUGGUCGAACCCCAAUUUUUUUUUACCGGUUGACCUCGGAUCAGGUAGGGAUACCCGCUGAACUUAAGCAUAUCAAUAAGCGGAGGA